UGGCGGACGGGUGAGUAACACGUGGGUAACCUGCCCUUCAGCGGGGGAUAACAUCCGGAAACGGGUGCUAAUACCGCAUAGUUUCUUUUUCCGCCUGGAAGAAGAAGGAAAGAUGGCCUUUGCGCUAUCACUGAGGGAUGGACCCGCGGCGUAUUAGUUAGUUGGUGGGGUAAUGGCCUACCAAGACGAUGAUACGUAGCCGACCUGAGAGGGUGAUCGGCCACAUUGGGACUGAGACACGGCCCAAACUCCUACGGGAGGCAGCAGUAGGGAAUCUUCCGCAAUGGACGAAAGUCUGACGGAGCAACGCCGCGUGAGUGAAGAAGGUUUUCGGAUCGUAAAACUCUGUUGUCGGAGAAGAACAAGUAGGAGAGCAACUGUUCCUACCUUGACGGUACCCGACCAGAAAGCCACGGCUAACUACGUGCCAGCAGCCGCGGUAAUACGUAGGUGGCAAGCGUUGUCCGGAUUUAUUGGGCGUA
RNAcentral lists this ribosomal RNA (482 nucleotides) under uncultured bacterium. Its description in RNAcentral is "bacterial SSU rRNA". It matches the Rfam family "Bacterial small subunit ribosomal RNA", at positions 96 to 562 of the family's 1533-position model. The record is from RNAcentral.